UACAGAGGGGGCAAGCGUUGUUCGGAAUUACUGGGCGUAAAGGGCGCGUAGGCGGCCUUCUAAGUCGAACGUGAAAUCCCCGGGCUCAACCCGGGAACUGCGUCCGAUACUGGAAGGCUUGAAUCCGGGAGAGGGAUGCGGAAUUCCAGGUGUAGCGGUGAAAUGCGUAGAUAUCUGGAGGAAUACCGGUGGCGAAGGCGGCUUUCUGGACACUUACUGACGCUGAGACGCGAAAGCGUGGGGAGCAAACAGG
This 253-nucleotide ribosomal RNA is filed under the name uncultured bacterium. RNAcentral's name for it is "partial 16S ribosomal RNA". It matches the Rfam family "Bacterial small subunit ribosomal RNA", at positions 524 to 776 of the family's 1533-position model. The record is from RNAcentral.